This 215-nucleotide long non-coding RNA is filed under the name Homo sapiens (human). RNAcentral's name for it is "HSALNT0380460". The record is from RNAcentral. Lineage: Eukaryota; Metazoa; Chordata; Mammalia; Primates; Hominidae.
AGAAUGGGACAACAGAAGAAGUGACUUCAGAGGAAGAGGAAGAAGAGGAGAUGGCUGAAAUUCAACCAAGAUGGUGUCCUGGGUAUGGUGGAAGAAGAUGUUCUCUGGGAUGCAGACAUUUCCCUGAACAAGUCCAUCACAGAGAGCAGGAGAGUCUGGCCUCUUCAGAUGUGAGCCAUCAUUAAGUUCAAAUUCACUCCACCAUCCAUGCAAAC